This 490-nucleotide ribosomal RNA is filed under the name uncultured bacterium. RNAcentral's name for it is "partial 16S ribosomal RNA". It matches the Rfam family "Bacterial small subunit ribosomal RNA", at positions 30 to 507 of the family's 1533-position model. The record is from RNAcentral.
AUUGAACGCUGGCGGCAGGCCUAACACAUGCAAGUCGAACGGUAACAGGAAGAAGCUUGCUUCUUUGCUGACGAGUGGCGGACGGGUGAGUAAUGUCUGGGAAACUGCCUGAUGGAGGGGGAUAACUACUGGAAACGGUAGCUAAUACCGCAUAACGUCGCAAGACCAAAGAGGGGGACCUUCGGGCCUCUUGCCAUCGGCUGUGCCCAGAUGGGAUUAGCUAGUAGGUGGGGUAACGGCUCACCUAGGCGACGAUCCCUAGCUGGUCUGAGAGGAUGACCAGCCACACUGGAACUGAGACACGGUCCAGACUCCUACGGGAGGCAGCAGUGGGGAAUAUUGCACAAUGGGCGCAAGCCUGACGCAGCCAUGCCGCGUGUAUGAAGAAGGCCUUCGGGUUGUAAAGUACUUUCAGCGGGGAGGAAGGGAGUAAAGUUAAUACCUGUGCUCAUUGACGGUACCCGCAGAAGAAGCACCGGCUAACUCCGUG